RNAcentral lists this ribosomal RNA (481 nucleotides) under uncultured bacterium. Its description in RNAcentral is "bacterial SSU rRNA". It matches the Rfam family "Bacterial small subunit ribosomal RNA", at positions 60 to 535 of the family's 1533-position model. The record is from RNAcentral.
AGUCGAGGGGCAUCACGAGGUAGCAAUACUUUGGUGGCGACCGGCGCACGGGUGCGUAACGCGUAUGUAACCUACCUAUAACAGGGGCAUAACACUGAGAAAUUGGUACUAAUUCCCCAUAAUAUUCGGAGAGGCAUCUCUCCGGGUUGAAAACUCCGGUGGUUAUAGAUGGACAUGCGUUGUAUUAGCUAGUUGGUGAGGUAACGGCUCACCAAGGCAACGAUACAUAGGGGGACUGAGAGGUUAACCCCCCACACUGGUACUGAGACACGGACCAGACUCCUACGGGAGGCAGCAGUGAGGAAUAUUGGUCAAUGGACGCAAGUCUGAACCAGCCAUGCCGCGUGCAGGAAGACGGCUCUAUGAGUUGUAAACUGCUUUUGUACGAGGGUAAACUCACCUACGUGUAGGUGACUGAAAGUAUCGUACGAAUAAGGAUCGGCUAACUCCGUGCCAGCAGCCGCGGUAAUACGGAGGAUUC